RNAcentral lists this non-coding RNA (30 nucleotides) under Rattus norvegicus (Norway rat). Lineage: Eukaryota; Metazoa; Chordata; Mammalia; Rodentia; Muridae. The record is from RNAcentral.
UGAGAGCACUUGGCCCGGUGUGUGGCAUCU